Molecule: ribosomal RNA, 433 nt
Filed under: uncultured bacterium
Lineage: Bacteria
Description: partial 16S ribosomal RNA
Rfam family: Bacterial small subunit ribosomal RNA
Source: RNAcentral
AACGAACGCUGGCGGCAUGCCUAACACAUGCAAGUCGAACGAGACCUUCGGGUCUAGUGGCGCACGGGUGCGUAACGCGUGGGAACCUGCACUUAGGUUCGGAAUAACUCCCCGAAAGGGGUGCUAAUACCGGAUAAUGUCUUCGGACCAAACAUUUAUCGCCUUUGGAGGGGCCCGCGUUGGAUUAGCUAGUUGGUAGGGUAAAAGCCUACCAAGGCGACGAUCCAUAGCUGGUCUGAGAGGAUGAUCAGCCACACUGGGACUGAGACACGGCCCAGACUCCUACGGGAGGCAGCAGUGGGGAAUAGUGGACCAUGGGCGAAAGCCUGAUCCAGCUAGGCCGCGUGAGCGAUGAAGGCCUGAGGGUUGUAAAGCUCUUUUACCCGGGAUGAUAAUGACAGUACCGGGAGAAUAAGCUCCGGCUAACUCCGUG